RNAcentral lists this long non-coding RNA (2468 nucleotides) under Equus caballus (horse). RNAcentral's name for it is "lncRNA (ENSECAG00000045691.1)". The record is from RNAcentral. Lineage: Eukaryota; Metazoa; Chordata; Mammalia; Perissodactyla; Equidae.
GGAAAGAGGAAGGGACUUGCCCAAGAUCACACAGUUCAGGUCUUCUGACUCCCAUUACCUCAUUUUUUCACAGACCAUACAUUGAGUGUGGAGCACCCACCAUGUGCCAGGCACAGUGCUAGCAUUGAAGACAAAAGAUGAAUAAGACUGACAAAGUUCCUGUCCUCACAGAGCUUAUAGUAAAGUUGGGGAGAAAACUGUAAACAACACAUAGAGAAAACCAGAGACUUCCGGUUUCCACUCUGGCAUGUAAGGAGCUUAGAAGUUGCUGCUCUAUCAAAUAACAAGUAGAAAGCUGAAAAAUCAACAACUCUUCUUAGAUGGAUAAAAGUGUGGUCACAGGGCCAACUACUGUCCUCAGAAACUGGAGAGACAGACAAGGAGAUACAAAGCAUCACAACUUAGACCAGAAACCCAGGAGCAGAAACCUCCCUGGGAACCAGAACUGGAGCUGGAAGACCUGAACUGUAAUUGAAGAAUUGUUGGUGGCUCAAUGUGGACAAGCCUGAGAUUUAAAAACUCCAGGGGACGCAGUCAUAGGGAGGCCACCACACUCUUGUGAAUUGUAUCUCUAGGAGCUCAACCAAGUCCUCAGAUUGCAUAUUGGAAAAAACUCCCUGUGCUUCUGGCAGGGGAGUGAAAAGUAAUCAUUUUGAAAUACACCAGAGCACUCUGUUCUUAAAAAGCCCUGCCCUUGGGAGAAACCAAUUCACCAGAGCCUAAUCUGCUUGGGUUUUAUCAGAGCCUGACUGACCUGGGGGAAGGAAAUAUUCAAUAUUCAAAUAUUCUAGUGGGCUCUAGUUUUCCAUAUGCAGGAAGGAAAACACUCAACUCCAGCCCACUCUAAGUAUCCUGUCCCACCUAAGGGGGGAAAAACUGAGAAGCGCUGGUGAUGUUCAUACUUCAGGGGCACAGCAUCACUCAAACACUGAGACUUAAUUAUAGGAUUAUAGAAGGCUUCCCUUCCCCAUGCCCUACCACCAUAUUACUAAAAGUUUAUUUACCACAGCUGCUUUCACACAAUACCUCAUGUCUACCUUUCAGUAAAAAAUGAAAAACAUUAAAAGUCAAAAAGUACAGUUUGAAGAGAUUGAACAAGCAUCGGACCAGACUCAGAUAUGGCAGGAAUGUUGCAGUUAUCAGAUCAGGAAUUUUUUUUAAACUAUGCUUAAUAUGCUAAGGGCUUUAAUGGAUAAAAUCGACAACAUUCAAGAACAGAUGGAUAAUGUAAGCAGAGAGAAGGAAAGUCUAAGAAAGAAUCAAAAAUAAAUACUAGAGAUCAAAAACACUCUAACAGAAAUGAAGAAUGCCUAUAAUGGGCUCAUUAGUAGGCUGGACACAUCUGAGGGGAAAAUCGCUGAGCUUGAGGACCUGACUAUAGAAACUUCCAAAACUGUAAUGCAAAGAGAAAAAAGACAGAAAAAAAAAAAAGAGAAGAGAAUAUCCAAGAACUGUGCGACAACCAAAAAAGGCGUAACAUAUGUGUAAUGGAAAUAUCAGAAGGAAAGGAAAGAAAAUAAAAAAUUGUUGAAGCAAUAAUGAUUAAGAAUUUCCCCAAAUUAAUGUCAGACACCACAUGACAGAUCCAGGAAGCUCAGAGAACACCAAGCAGGAUAAACGCCAAAGAAAAUACACAUGGGCAGAUCAUAUGCAAACUUUAGAAAAUCAAAGAUAAAGAAAAAAAUCUUGAAAGAAGCCAGAAGGAAAAACACCUUACUUAUAGAGAGCAAAGAUCACAAUUACAUCUGACUUCUCCUCAGAAACCAUGCAGGCAAGAAGACUUCAAUGAAGUGAAAUAUUUAAAGUGUUGAGAGAAAAAAGGCACCAACAUAGAAUUCUGUACCCUGCAAAUUAUCCUUCAAAAGUGAAGGAGAAAUGAAGACUUACUCGGACAAACAAAAAUUGAGGGAAUUUGUUGCCGGUAGACCUACCUUGCGAGAAUGUUAAAAGAUGUUCCUCUGUGACAAAGAAAAUGAUGCAGGGCAGAAACUCAGACCUACAUAAAGAAAGGAAGAGCAUCAGAGAAUGAAUAAAUGAAGAUGUUGCCAACCUCCAGUGAAACUGACAUGGUUGCAGCAGGACCCCUGCAAAUUGCUCCAGCUCUAAAUGGCAUGUUGCAUUGAACCUGUUAUGUAAUGGCAUUGAGCUCGUUAUAUAAUGGUCUGCACAUGCGCCCUGGCCAAGCCCAGUUGUUACACAGUCGUAACAUAGCCUCUGCACUCUGGUGCAUAAGACCUCCACCUGCACUAAGCUGGAGGGUGGGGGAAGCACUGCUUUGGGGGCUGUCCCGAGUGUUCUCCAAUGUUUGAGCAAGCAAUAAAACUUUCUCUUCACCCACUUCAGCUUGAUUGUGCUUUUCGGCUCUGCACUCACCAAGAGACGGCUGCACUGAGUUCAGUUACAAUUCCACAGUGGGGGAGGCUGUGCAUGUGUGUGGACAGGGGGUAUAUGGGAACUCUCUGUACUUU